RNAcentral lists this ribosomal RNA (446 nucleotides) under uncultured Sphingobacteriales bacterium HF0010_19H17. RNAcentral describes it as "bacterial LSU rRNA". It matches the Rfam family "Bacterial large subunit ribosomal RNA", at positions 2249 to 2694 of the family's 2925-position model. Lineage: Bacteria; Pseudomonadati; Bacteroidota; Sphingobacteriia; Sphingobacteriales. The record is from RNAcentral.
GGACAGUGCUUGGUGGGUAGUUUGACUGGGGUGGUCGCCUCCAAAAGAGUAACGGAGGCUUCCAAAGGUACCCUCAGCACGCUUGGUAACCGUGCGUAGAGUGCAAUGGCAUAAGGGUGCUUGACUGUGAGACCUACAAGUCGAGCAGAGACGAAAGUCGGGCAUAGUGAUCCGGUGGUUCCGCAUGGAAGGGCCAUCGCUCAAAGGAUAAAAGGUACUCCGGGGAUAACAGGCUGAUCUCCCCCAAGAGCUCACAUCGACGGGGGGGUUUGGCACCUCGAUGUCGGCUCGUCACAUCCUGGGGCUGGAGAAGGUCCCAAGGGUUGGGCUGUUCGCCCAUUAAAGUGGCACGCGAGCUGGGUUCAGAACGUCGCGAGACAGUUCGGUCCCUAUCUGUAGUGGGCGUUAGAAAUUUGAGAAGACCUGCCUCUAGUACGAGAGGACCG